RNAcentral lists this transfer RNA (85 nucleotides) under Felis catus (domestic cat). It matches the Rfam family "tRNA". From Rfam's summary of the family: Transfer RNA (tRNA) molecules are approximately 80 nucleotides in length. Lineage: Eukaryota; Metazoa; Chordata; Mammalia; Carnivora; Felidae. The record is from Rfam by way of RNAcentral.
GCCUGAGUGGCUCAGUCGGUUGAGCAUCCGACUUCGGCUCAGGUCAUGAUGUCAUGGUCUGUGAGUUCCAGCCCCGCAUCAGGCU